Long non-coding RNA from Cyprinus carpio carpio, 2272 nucleotides. Lineage: Eukaryota; Metazoa; Chordata; Actinopteri; Cypriniformes; Cyprinidae. The record is from Ensembl.
UUAAAACAUGUUAAAAAGGUGUUAAAAACUCCUGCAAAAAUCAAUGAGGUUUGUUCUUGCGUGUCACAAGGUGCUAACAACUUGCUAAACAUGCUAGAAACAUGCUAGCAACAUGCUAGUAACUUGCUAAUUAUGCUAACAUGCUAGUAACUUGUUAAUCAUGCUACUAACAAUAUAGUAACAUGUUAAUCAUACUAACAACAUGCUAGUAACAUCCUAGAAACCACCCUGAGAAAUCUAGCAACCGCAUAGCAACACCUUAUCAACCCCCCGGUUACCAUAGCAACCACUGGGUACCAUUGCAACACCUUAGCAACCACCCCGAGUAGCUUAGCAACUACCUAACAGCACCCCAGCUACCCUAGCAACCGCAUAGUGACAACCUAGCAACCACCCUGGGUACCUUAGCAACCACAUAGCAACACCCUAGCAAACAACCCAGGUAGCCUAGCAACACCCUAGAAACCACUCUGGGUGCCCUAGCAACCGCAUAGCAGCACCCUAACAACAGUCCUGGGUACAUUAGCAACUGCAUAGCAACACUUUAGCAACCCCCCAGUGACCAUAGCAACCGCAUAGUAACACCCUAGCAACCACCUUGAGUACCGUAGCAACCACAUAGCAACACCCUAGCAACAGCCUGGGUAUUAUAACAACCACAUAGUAACACCCUAGCAACCACCCAAAGUACCUUAAAAACCGCAUAAACACACUAGCAACCACCCCAGGUAGCCUAGCAACACCCCAGCUACCCUAGCAACCGCAUAGUAACACCCUAACAACCACCCUGAGUACCUUGGCAAUCACAUAGCAACACCAUAGUUAAUGGUUAAUUAAUUAGGUUAAUAUUUAUGUUCACAGAAUAAUGUUUAUAUUUGCAUAAAAGCCUAAAUUAAAUCUGUUCAUCAUAUAAAGCAAUCAUGUCUCUUCAGAAGACUUAGCUUAAACCACUUAAUUCAUAUGGAUUUAGUUUUUGAUCUCUUUACGAAUGUUUUGAAGUGUCAGAGUUUCAGUGGAAGAACAGAAAUCUCUCCAAUUGAAUUAAAAGUAUCUUCAGUUGUGUUCUGAAGAUGAAUACAUUUCUUAAGGUUUUGGAACGACAUGAGGGUACGUAAAUAAUGACAAUUUUAAUUUUAAGAUAAACUAACACCAAAUUUAUUAUUGUGACUGUAAUUCAAGUUCAAUAUUCUAUUUUAUAAUUCAGCUGAUCUCAUCAUUAAAUCCAACUGAUAAUUUAAUUUUGUGAUAUUCCAAAAGAAUUGAACGCUUCUAGCCAGUCAGCUUCAAUAAUUCAAUAUGACAAGCAUAGAUUGAGGGGGGACAUUUCCAGUCUUAUGGUCAGGUGAGACAGCAACCUAAUUAGUCAGUGCUUAUUUUGGGGUUUACUGGCCCUUUAACUCCAAGCUAUUGAAAUGUCACUCCGGGUGACCCUGCGACAGGGUGAGAAUGUCAUUUGUAAACACACAGGGACUAUGAGACCCCCAGCUAGGUUAUUAGUAAUGACAGCUGACUGACAGGAAUGAGGGAAUACUGCAACUUGGAAUUAUAAGCAACUAUGUCUCAUUUAGGACUGGAUUAUAGGCAUCUGUUUUUCUAAUCGUUUCACUUGGCAUGGCCCAUAGCGUAUUCCACCAUCAUCUUCAUUGCAAUUUACUGAGAUAACACUAUCAACUUAUUAAUGUACUCUGAGCAUCAACUCUUUGGACUACGCUUGGCCGUACUCAGCCAGCUAACAUCAUUCUAAUCCUGAUGGUUACUCUUCUCUAGCAUGAUGGAUUUAUUAGGGGACUGCAUGACUUACUGCUAAAGAAUGGGCCUUGCCACUAAGUCAGGCGGUGUGAGGAAGACAAGUGUAUCUCAAGUCCUAAUUCUUAACUCAAUCAUCUGCUAGCGAUGUGAAUUGCAUUAUGGAUCAUUCUGACAAGACAGCCCGCCCCAGUCUCGGACAUGAAUUUCGACAGGGAUUCCAAUAUGCUAAGCAGGAGUGUGUCAGAGAGGUUAAUAUACAUGAGAAAAAGCUCCUUAAAGUUCCUAUCUGUCUUGCCUGCCUGAAAGUCUAGAUAUUCUAAUGACCAUUGCUAAUAAAAAUGCAAAGGAAUCAAUUAGUUUAAUUAAAUCUGGCAACACUCACUGACUUCUAAUGUUUAAGGUCAGCAAGUAAUUCUCAAUCAGAGACAUGAAUGUACAUGCAUACAUAACGUGCUCAUGGGUGUACUCAGUAGGCAGUGUUGUACUGAUAAAGAUCAUGUUUCAACUCUAAAGUUGAUGUGUA